CUCCCAGAACGGGGAGGUAGUGACAAAAAAUAACGGUACGGGACUCAUCCGAGGCCCCGUAACUGGAAUGAAUACACUUUAAAUCCUUUAAUAAAGAUCUAUCUGAGGGCAAGUCUGGUGCCAGCAGCUGCGGUAAUUCCAGCUCUGAUAGCGUAUAUUAAAGUUGUUGCGGUUAAAAAGCUCGUAGUUGGUUCUGUGUGCCAUGCUGUUGGUUCACCGCCUGCCGGUGCAACUGACAUGUCAUGGGACGUCCUAUUGGUGGUAACUUUAAAGAGCUAUUUUUGGAUGUUCAAUUUUUUUGUUUCAACCAAUUAUAGAUUUCUUUAAAUUACCGAAAUUCGUUCCCGCCGCGGUGCUCUUCAUUGAGUGUCGAGGUGGGCCGAUACGUUUACUUUGAACAAAUUAGAGUGCUCAAAGCAGGCAAAAAUUUGCCUUUGAAUAGUGGUGCAUGGAAUAAUAGAAUAUGACUUUGGUUCUAUUUUGUUGGUUUACAGAAUCCAAGGUAAUGAUCAAUAUGGACAGGCGGGGGCAUUCGUAUUGCGACGUUAGAGGUGAAAUUCUUGGAUCGUCGCAAGACGAACUAGAGCGAAAGCAUUUGCCAAGUAUGUCUUAAUUGAUCAAGAACGAAAGUUAGAGGCUCGAAGGCGAUCAGAUACCGCCCUAGUUCUAACCAUAAACGAUGUCAGCCAGCGAUCCGUCGAUGUUUAUUUCAUGACUCGACGGGCAGCUUCCGGGAAACCAAAGCUUUUGGGUUCCGGGGGAAGUAUGGUUGCAAAGCUGAAACUUAAAGGAAUUGACGGAAGGGCACCACAAGGAGUGGGGCCUGCGGCUUAAUUUGACUCAACACAGGAAACCUCAUCAGGUCCAGACAUUGGAAGGAUUGACAGAUUGAUAGCUCUUUCUUGUUUC
RNAcentral lists this ribosomal RNA (909 nucleotides) under Ceratocomboides sp. 5 SL-2016. RNAcentral's name for it is "bacterial SSU rRNA". It matches the Rfam family "Eukaryotic small subunit ribosomal RNA", at positions 448 to 1268 of the family's 1831-position model. Lineage: Eukaryota; Metazoa; Arthropoda; Insecta; Hemiptera; Ceratocombidae. The record is from RNAcentral.